CCUGAAUUUGCCUGUAUACUCUCGUUCUGCAUCUUAUAAAGGACCAGACAAAUCAAAUUAGUGGUUUUGUAGCCAUCCCUGCCAUUGGGGCGCAGUAUUCCAUGUUUCCAGCAGCUCCAGCCCCUAAAAUGAUUGAAGAUGGCAAAAUCCACACAGUGGAGCACAUGAUCAGCCCUAUUGCUGUGCAGCCAGACCCAGCCAGUGCUGCUGCCGCCGCAGCCGCGGCCGC
RNAcentral lists this small RNA (229 nucleotides) under Pongo abelii (Sumatran orangutan). RNAcentral describes it as "processed transcript". The record is from RNAcentral. Lineage: Eukaryota; Metazoa; Chordata; Mammalia; Primates; Hominidae.